AUGUCCAAAACGAUGAUUCUACAGUUGUUGCGAACAGCGACUAGCCGCCAACUUUUACGAUGUUCGCAAGUUCAGACCACAACAACAUUCUGGCGAAUUCAAACUCAACAAUUCGCAUCUGAAGGAAAACGUGGAAGGCGAAAGUUUGUGGAAGCCGCCGUCGUGAAGAGUACGAAAAGUACAAAACAAACUGUCGAUGUUUGGAAGCAAAUGAAUCCUUCAGAGCUCGCCGCGGCACUUUCCGUAGAUUUGAGUGAAAUUACCGAGUUUUUGGAAAGCCUCGACCGCCGGAAUGUUGAUGCAAUCAUUUCUGAUUCUCCACUUGACGAUGUUUCGAUUUUGCAGACCUCCAUCCACAACUAGAAGCUUCUCCAAAAGAUCUAGAACGUCGCCCACCGAUUGUAACUAUCAUGGGACAUGUUGAUCAUGGAAAAACCACACUUUUGGAUGCAAUGCGUAAUUCUCAAAUCGCUGCAGGAGAAUUCGGUGGAAUCACACAACAUAUUGGCGCAUUCUCUGUCGAAUUAACAAAAGGAAGAAGAGUCACAUUUUUGGAUACACCGGGUCAUGCCGCAUUCGCAUCAAUGAGAGCCCGUGGUGCGAAAGGAGCUGAUAUUGUUGUUCUCGUUGUUGCUGCCGAUGAUGGAGUCAAAGAACAGACUGCACAAUCGAUAAAAUUUGCAAAAGACGCGAAUGUUCAACUGGUGGUGGCUGUAAAUAAAAUUGACAAGCCAAACGCAGAUCCAAUGAGAGCAAUGCGAUCAUUGUUGGAACAUGAUGUCGUUGUUGAGCAGCUCGGUGGAGAUGUUCAAUGUGUUGAGGUUUCUGCAUUACAAUCUAGAAAUCUACCAUCUUUACAAGAUGCUCUUCUUCUUCAAGCAGAUGUCAUGGAUUUAAAAGCAACGAAAAAAGGAAAAGUGGAAGCAGUUAUCAUUGAAUCAUCAGUUGUACAUGGAAUUGGAAAAGUUUGCACAUUAGUUGUUUCUCGAGGAACACUCAAAAAGGGAUGUGUACUAGUGGCAGGAAGCUCGUGGUGUCGUGUCAAGACAAUGCAUGAUGAAAAUGGAAAAAUUGUUCAAGUCGCGACACCAUCACAACCAGUUCGCGUUUCAGGAUGGAAAGACGAUCUUCCAACUCCUGGUGACCUCGUUCUCGAAGCGGAAACUGUAGAUCGUGCACAGAAAGCUGUAAACUUGAGAAUUGAUAAUAUGAUGCGCGAGAAGGCUGAUCGUGAUUGGGAAGACACAAAAGAUCAGAGAGACAAAGCUCGUGAGACAUAUCUGAGCAAUCGACAGCAGCUUCUCGACAGAGGACAACGAUUCGGAUCGACUCUUCGUAAUAUUGUUCAUAAAAAGCAACGAAUUGAGAAAGAUGUAGCUGACGGAUCUCCAAAAUUUAGGCUUAUAAUCCGAACAGACGUAGAAGGCACACUCGAGGCGAUUCUGGAAAUUUUGAGCACAUAUAAAAGCGAGCAAUGCAAGCUACAAUUGGUUGAUUUCGAAGUGGGACCGCCGACUGAAAAAGACAUUGAAUUGGCAAAAGAGACGGAUGCCACAAUAUACACAUUCAACGUAGAAACAUCUGCAAAACUCAAACAACGUGCCGAUGCUGCUGGUAUUCAAAUCGAUUCAUUCAAUGUCAUUUAUCGCAUGAUUGAAUCGCUGAAAGGAGAACUUUCUGCUCGUAUUCCAAAGCUAACUGAACUCCAUUUAGUUGGAGAAGGACACGUGCUCAAAGAAUUUGUCAUUUCGGAUCGUGGAAGAAAGCGGCAACCUAUUGCAGGAACCCUUGUGAAUUGGGGAAACUUUGAUAGACAUUGCAUUUAUAAGUUCACUCGAGGCAAUCAAGUCGUUUACGAAGGAGAAGUCGAAACUAUGAAAGCUGGAAUGGAAGUGGUGACGAAUGCAAAAACGAACACAGAAGUCGGUCUCGCGUUGUCUGAUAAAAAUAUUCGAUUCAAAGAAGAUGAUCAAGUUGAAGCUUACGAGAAGCGUACCAUCACUCAAGAAGUCGACUGGUAUCCACCAGGAUUUUAG
Molecule: unclassified non-coding RNA, 2036 nt
Filed under: Caenorhabditis elegans
Lineage: Eukaryota; Metazoa; Nematoda; Chromadorea; Rhabditida; Rhabditidae
Description: Non-coding transcript of protein-coding gene F46B6.6b
Source: RNAcentral